Lizanozyma spartinae is the source of this 71-nucleotide non-coding RNA. NCBI's taxonomy places the organism in Eukaryota, Fungi, Ascomycota, Pichiomycetes, Serinales, Debaryomycetaceae. The record is from the annotation of a RefSeq genome assembly.
UGUUUUGUAGUUUAAGGGUAAAACUCCAUUCUUCUAAAGUGGUUAUCUGGGUUCAAUUCCCAGCAAAACAU